UCUCGGAUAGCUUAACUGGUAGAUCCUUUGGCGCGUAUCCAAACGAUCUGGAUUCGAUUUCCAGUCCGAGCC
Molecule: transfer RNA, 72 nt
Filed under: Cotesia glomerata
Lineage: Eukaryota; Metazoa; Arthropoda; Insecta; Hymenoptera; Braconidae
Description: tRNA-Thr
Source: RNAcentral